This 253-nucleotide ribosomal RNA is filed under the name uncultured bacterium. Its description in RNAcentral is "partial 16S ribosomal RNA". It matches the Rfam family "Bacterial small subunit ribosomal RNA", at positions 524 to 776 of the family's 1533-position model. The record is from RNAcentral.
UACGUAGGCAGCAAGCGUUGUUCGGAGUUACUGGGCGUGAAGAGUGCGUAGGCGGUUCUCUAAGUUUGGUGUGAAAUCUCCCGGCUUAACCGGGAGGGUGCGCCGAAAACUGGAGGGCUAGAGUGUGGGAGAGGUAAGCGGAAUUCCCGGUGUAGCGGUGAAAUGCGUAGAUAUCGGGAGGAACCCCUGUGGUGUAGACGGCUUACUGGACCAUGACUGACGCUGAGGCACGAAAGCGUGGGGAGCAAACAGG